RNAcentral lists this long non-coding RNA (2934 nucleotides) under Marmota monax (woodchuck). Lineage: Eukaryota; Metazoa; Chordata; Mammalia; Rodentia; Sciuridae. The record is from RNAcentral.
UGUAUGAGUGUGUGUGUGUGUGUGACAGUAAUAAAUCAUUGACCACCUCCCUGUUACACUCAGAGAUGUGAUUCAAGGGAGGCCUUGUUUCAGACAAAUGCACAAUUUCUGCCGCCACUGGUUUUGGGCGCCCCCUGGUGGUCAAAGCUUGCCACUCGCUCAUGGCCACCCACUAGAUUUGCGGAUGGGGCACUGGCGUCUAGCAGUCAAGGUAAUUUAAACCUUAGGAUCUACUCUGAAACAGGGAUAUGGAAAACAGACAGCAGGAGAGAAGGGUACCCUUGUGGGUUUGGACCAACGAUAACCAGAUCAUAAAGAGAAGAGAGGGUCCUGCCACCUCUGGGUGAGGGGAGCUGUGUCAGUUUUCCCUGCAAAAGACCAACAUGGGCCUGCUCUCCUUGGUUGCUGUGAGCGUACCUUCUGAAGUGUGUCGCAAUAAAAAAAAUCUGAAAUGUCCUAAAUUUAAUUACAAGGGUCAGAAGAUUGAGGGGGAGAAGAAAUAUGGAAGUUAAUUAGCUAACAGCUUCAGGGCAAACCAAUAAAUGACUGUCACACUCCUGAGUGGAUGCUGACUUACAACUCACGGUUGACCACAGGUGCCAUUGUGCCCUGUUUAUAUUAAACUUUGCAGACUCUUCACUCCUGCCAACCCAACUGCAACAAGGACCUCCGUAGGGACUCUCCUCCUACCCCAGGAGUCCUGCCUUCAGUGACCCGCCCCUCUUAGCUGUAGCCAGUGGAGGUCCAGGGUAAACCAUUCAUGCUUCUUCUCCAUUCUCCAUUCUGAAAAUGCUCUUGGCUCUUAGGGCCUGCAGACUUCCCCCAGCUGCUCUCCAGCCUUGCUGCUGGUGGUUGUGGAACUUGUCCCAGCGCCAUCUGUAAGUCUCAGUGGAUCCUUUUAUUUCAGACAUGUUUUGUUCUCCAGAGAUUUGACUUAACACUCUGCAAACAAAAAUGCCUUAAGAGCCAGGAGAUUCUUAGGCUCCUUUGAUCAGUGGUGGCCUUGGCUUCCUCUGACUGGAGAAUUCACAGCCAAGUACUCUCCAUUAUAUUCUUCUAGAUUCUCUUUCAUUUAGAUUGUGUUCCUUAAGCUCCAGGGCAUGCAUAUUCAUAUUUGUCAAUAUUUUGGGGUUUGGUAACUAAAUAAGCACUGAAAAAGGACUAUUGCUUUGGGCUGGGGAUAUAGUUCAGUUGGUGGAAAGCCUGCCUUGCAUGCACAAGGCCCUGGGUUCAAUCCCCAGCACCACACACACACAUGCUCUCUCUCUCUCUCUCUCUCUCUCACACACACACACACACACACACAAUCUUGCUCUGAGGAUGGUGACUUUCCCCCUAAAACUUUCCUUAUGAAGCACAUGACAAUAAAAAUAUUAUAAAACAAGGGUUCUUUCAGGUCCCUUCUUGUGCUGGGCAGAGCACACUCAGCCUGGAGUCUAGAGUUCUCCAUUGCCCUCUCAGAUCCUUACCCAAUGAUGGUCUCCUAGAGGCCUCAGGUUACUCAUCCAAAAGAAUGUUUAAAUUGCUUCUCCUACACCAAGUGCAGGGGGCGGGGCUUCUCUCUGGAAUUCCAUCAAUCUGCAUUAAGACCAAACCCACAAAAGGGAACCCAGUUGCCAACCAUCUUCAUCCUGGAAUCUCUUUAUUGAAGCAGUGACAGAGGAACACAGCCACCUCUGGAGGGACUUGAUUAUAAAAUACUGUCUGCCCCUUGGGCUCAUUCACAUUCCAAACAGAAUUCGUUUUGCAAACUAAUUUUUGUCUCUGGGUUCAUUCUUGCCUUAAUAAUCAUUUACAAUCCCUUAAAAUGCCUAGGGGGCCCAUUCUCCCAGUUCCCUUAUAGAAAAAAGUAUAUAAAUUGAAUCAUGCUGGGCUGCUGAGUGAUUCCAUUACGCGACUGCCUCCUUGCACAUAAUCAUUUUCUUUGUCCUUUCUCCUAUUUAAUCUGUAUAUUGUCCAUUCAUUCUAGCAAACUGAGUGGAGGAGAAUUUUCCCUUUGCCUCUAUACCUGAUGAUAAAUUAUAUACAGUAAAAAUUAUAUACAGAAGUCCUCCCUUAUCCAUGGACAAUACAUUCUAAGACCCCACUUGGAUGCCUGAAAUCAUGGAUAGUAUCAAACCCUAUAUACAAUUGAGAUAGCUGAUAAAUGACUGACAGGUAGCAUAUACAGCAUGGAUACACUGAACAAUGUCCCUGGUGGGAUGGAGCAGGACAUUGAGAGAUUUCACCAUGCUGUUAAGAAUGUUGUAUAAUUUAAAACUUACGAAUUGUUUAUUUCUGAAAGGGAAACCUCAGAUAAGUGGGAACUACUGUAACUUGAAUUAACAUCUGGGUUUAACUGGUAGUGUUGCUGAUGUGUAAAAUUUUGUGUUUUCAGGUUUUUAUUAAUGUUAUUCUUUUCUGUCUUUCAUCAUUAUUUUGAAGGGAAUGUAUUAUGGAACACAAAGAAAUAUUAAAAUUGCAAGAACAUGAAUACUAGUAAAUGUGACCAUUACUUCUUUUUUUUAAACAAAUAUAAUAAAUUGGAUAGAUUACUUCACAUAAAGUGUUUUAUUUGAGCUACUGUUUUGCAUUUGGACUAUUUUUAACUAGCCCAUAUUCUGUCUAAAAAUUCUAACAGGAUUUUUAAAUUCAAUAGGAUUUUUAAAUUUAAUUUUAAUUGGAAACAAUUUAUUGGAUAUUGGUUAAGAGAGGUUAUUUCAAACUUUGUAUGCAAGUUCCAACUCUUGCUGUCACUUUGGUGCUCUUCAGCAAGUUUUGUCAUCUGGAUAAAAGCUGCUAUUGAAUUUUCUUGCUUAGAUUAUGUGAUUUGGUUCAGAGGAAAAAAAAAACCCUGCUGUUAUAGUGUAUUUUGUUUCUCUAUAUUUUAAAUGGAAAAUUAUGUAAGGAGGUAAGUUAUACGUUUGUUUCCCACCUGUGGUAUUUAAAAUGUGG